Misgurnus anguillicaudatus (oriental weatherfish) is the source of this 2400-nucleotide non-coding RNA. The record is from RefSeq and is a predicted model, not a curated record. Lineage: Eukaryota; Metazoa; Chordata; Actinopteri; Cypriniformes; Cobitidae.
CGUUUUGCAACGAAACUCUUCAUAUAUUAUAUGUUUGUAUAUGUGGUACUAGUUAAAUAAAAGAUAUGGAAACGGAAGACCCCCCAUUUAAAUUUUGAGUGUUGUAUAUCUUUUUUUUCAGAAGAAUAAGAACAUGAUAAAAAGGUAAAUUGCCUGAACUGAAUUUAUUAAAGUACUUCAGGGACACACUUUUCAUUGUAAAAGAGUUCUGCAGUAGCAAUAUAUUUGUAUGUGUGUGCAUAGGCGGUCUACAUCAUACAGACAGCUAGGGGGAGCUCUCGCAUAGGUCUGCUUAGUAGUAGUAGCGCUUAUAUAUACACAAGUUAAUGCAGAGAGCAGAUAACAGUGAUUCGAGAUGCUCCGGGCAUACCUGUCAAGUAUCCCGUUUUGGCCGGGAAAGUCCCGUAUUUUACCCUUCUUUCCCGGCGUCCUCCCGUAUUAGUAUUUUCCCGUAAAUCUCCCGUAUUUUAACCUCGGUAAUUUCGCACGCAAAGGUUGUGAUCUAUAAAAAAGAUCCUAAAGAUCCACUGAUUCCGCCAAUCCACUUCGUGUUUUCCCGCCCGCUCCGCAGCAUCUCUGUGUGUGUGCACUCUCUGCCUGGAGAGCAAAGACGACAGUUUCUGAAGUUCGUUGCAUUAACAGGUAGAUUUAUUACAUUAUAUCAGUUGUUAAACCGCAGAAUUACUCAUUUGGAAGUUUGUUUAUGUAUUUCUUCCGGUAAUGAUUUGCUUAGCAAGCAAACUACAACAAAAUAUCCACAUUCUUACUAUUAUAUCGCUUGUCUAAUGGAUUUAAUGUUCCCGAUCAGAUCUAAGUUAAUAUAAACACUACAUUUGCUGUUGUUGGUACACUUUGUAGGCAAAAAAAUACAAAAAACACCAAUGCCUUCACAAAAUAAAGACAGAGAACGGAAAGGGAGGCUGCUUCUAAGGCAGUUCAACAUUGCAAACAUGAUGGAUUCAAAGCUUUCAAGCCAGCAGGUAAAUCAUAUUGAAUAUUUAUUGUCACACUUUAUAUUUCCCAUUAUAAUCACGUUAAUCAAGUUGAUGCUAGUAAUAUAACACAUCAUAUUUAUAAUACUUUAUUAGAACCAUACUAAUAGUAUCACCCCCGUAGUGCCCUUUUUGAUUUGGGCCACUAGCAUUGGUUUGGGCCCCAUCUAGCAUUUUAAUUUUCUAAAUGACUGUUAUCAUUACAAAGACAAGUGAAUGGUUUAUAAAUAAUUUUGGCAUGAAGGUAUAAUGCAAAAUAAGUUAAAUUAAGGCUUUUCAACCUAAGGCCAGUUACCUAAGGAGUUUUGUACAGAUGCACAUUUGUGUGUAUAGCAUGUACAGUAUGAGUGUGACUUAUGAAAUGUAGUUUUCACAGAGCUGUGUGUUUCACUAGUUUUCUUGCUAUUAAAUUAGUUUGUUUAGUUAAUUUUAACACAAUUUCAGCACACUAAGGUUUAAAAAAUAUUAUCCGGCCCUCACAUUGUGGCGUUAUUUACCAUCCGGCCCUCAGCCUAAAAUGAGUUUGACACCCCUGAUAUAUACCAUUUUGUGUUGUCAUUUAGGCUAUAGCACCAGUCUUAAAAUGUAAGGGAUACUGGAGUUUGUUUGGGUUGGUAGGACUGCUCGCGGUGGGCGCUGGAAAAUUUCCCUUAUUUUCAAAUUUAAAACUUGACAGGUAUGGCUCCGGGAGAAAUUAAUCUAUCUUGUUUAAUAUUCUUUGCAGGUAAGAUUAAUUCGAGUAUAUAACAAGUUAAAGGUGUCUAUAAAUGGUUGUCAUCAGUGUUUAACGUUUUGAGUGAGAUUUGAACAACAAAACUGUAUUUUAAGUACUCGUGAAUGUAAUACGAACUGAAGUAACUAUCUUGAAAGUUCCUUUUAAAAACAAAGAUUGCUAUUUCACAGAGAGAAAAAAAUGCAAUUAUGUUGUUACUUGAAUUUUGAUGGUAAACAACUAUUUGACAGUACCGUGAGUUCAGUAGUGCACACGGAGUUCGCGGGUGUCCGCCAUUUUGUUUCAAGUGAAUGUUGCCAUGGUGAUAGUGCUAAUAAUUGAAUUGUAAAUGAGAUCAUAUGUUUGCGUAUGAAACAAGAGUAAAGAAAUAUGACAGAAAAUAACUCAUAUGAUGUUGAGGUUGUUUUGAGCAUAUAAUUAGUGCUUAAAUAGACAAUUUAUGGUUUCUAAAAGAAUCUUUAAAAGACAAAAGAUAAUCUAAUGUGAAAUGAUAAUCUAAUGUGAAUACUACUACUAUUAGGCUGAAUCAAAACCUGCCAGACUAAAGUUGAUUUUGCGUGAGAAAGAUGUUGAAAACUCUGAAUCAUCUUGACAUUCUUCAAUGAGUAAUUGUUCCAUUUUUACGCAAAUAGUGUACACUAUGAAUGCUGUGAAUAAACAUAUAUUUAAAUAUAA